ACGCACGCUGGCGGCAUGCCUAACACAUGCAAGUCGCACGAGACCUUCGGGUCUAGUGGCGCACGGGUGCGUAACGCGUGGGAACCUGCCCUUAGGUUCGGAAUAACUCCCCGAAAGGGGUGCUAAUACCGGAUAAUGUCUUCGGACCAAAGAUUUAUCGCCUUUGGAUGGGCCCGCGUUGGAUUAGCUAGUUGGUAGGGUAAAAGCCUACCAAGGCGACGAUCCAUAGCUGGUCUGAGAGGAUGAUCAGCCACACUGGGACUGAGACACGGCCCAGACUCCUACGGGAGGCAGCAGUGGGGAAUAUUGGACAAUGGGCGAAAGCCUGAUCCAGCAAUGCCGCGUGAGUGAUGAAGGCCUUAGGGUUGUAAAGCUCUUUUACCCGGGAUGAUAAUGACAGUACCGGGAGAAUAAGCGCCGGCUAACUCCGUG
Molecule: ribosomal RNA, 432 nt
Filed under: uncultured bacterium
Lineage: Bacteria
Description: partial 16S ribosomal RNA
Rfam family: Bacterial small subunit ribosomal RNA
Source: RNAcentral